This is a long non-coding RNA of Camelus dromedarius (Arabian camel), 768 nucleotides long. RefSeq lists it as uncharacterized. The transcript is spliced from 3 exons. The record is from RefSeq and is a predicted model, not a curated record. NCBI's taxonomy places the organism in Eukaryota, Metazoa, Chordata, Mammalia, Artiodactyla, Camelidae.
UUUAGGCACUAGCAACUCGUGGGUGGACGGAACACUCACAACUUUCUGCACCCAUGCAUACCAUAGUCUGGUGAGCGGAGAAGACAAAACAAGAGGUACACACAUGGUAUCCUGGAAGACGGUGCACACCAAGGAGAAAAACAAAGCCAAGCAAAGAGAUGGUGCUUGGGAAGGGGUCUGCUGUAUCAGAGUUUAAAAGUCGUCAGAGGAGGCGUUAAUGAGAAGGCUGCAUUUGACCAGACUUGAAGGAGGAAAAACCUGUUCCGGAAGAGCAAGGAAAAGUGGCUUUUUCAACACCCAUUCGACUGCAGUACUACAGGAGAUGCUGCUGUGUUCGGUCCACACAACUGAAAGUCUUCGCUUCAGUACCACUUGCUGUCCCAGCUGCCAGCAGUACCGAGCACGAACAGCUCACAGCUGAGCCCCUCUCUGGGCCCUCCCUCAGAGCUGCCUUGCCAAAGGCUCCACUCCUCCCCAGAGGCAGCAAAUGUCUAAUGACUGCUCAACGAGGAAGUACAAAGGACAGCGCAGACUCAUUUCAGGACGGCUCUGAAGGGCCAGCCCAGGUCCAGAGCUCCCCGUAGGACUGGCUGAGGCCCCUGUUGCCACUGCAUCUCAGUUCAGCCUCUCCAUCUGCCCAUCCUGCUUCCUGCACUCCUUGUAGGCAUUGUUCCCAAGAACAAUUGGUAACAACAGUAAACCUCCAUGACGCGAAUAACAGGGGCUCAGAGUGUGUCCCCAAAGGAAGCUGACCAAAGACAGCACCAC